Molecule: long non-coding RNA, 220 nt
Filed under: Malus domestica (apple)
Lineage: Eukaryota; Viridiplantae; Streptophyta; Magnoliopsida; Rosales; Rosaceae
Description: long non-coding RNA (MDOM_LNC012245)
Source: RNAcentral
AGGAGCGAGGAAACAAUUCAGCCAAAGCUGCAUUGAGAUUGUCAUCUUUUGUUGUCAACUCGACUUCAGCAAUGGUUACAAAAUCAAUGUGACCGGCUUCCUCGGCAACUACGUCACCAUUGAGGAAAUUCGGUUGAGCUGUGCUCGACUGAAAAUCAGCGGGCAAAACAUGGACCAUACUGAUUUCCAUGUUAUCCAAGACUGACAGGCCCAUCGGGUU